Molecule: regulatory RNA element, 75 nt
Organism: Faecalibacterium prausnitzii
Lineage: Bacteria; Bacillati; Bacillota; Clostridia; Eubacteriales; Oscillospiraceae
Rfam family: c-di-GMP-I riboswitch aptamer
About the family: GEMM was predicted in a large-scale screen for bacterial structured RNA regulatory elements.
Source: Rfam
CAGAAGAAUCGGCAAACCAGCUGGAAGGCUGCGACGCAAAGCUAAAGGGCCCAGACCGGGCAGCCAGCUGCACUU